Molecule: long non-coding RNA, 3291 nt
Organism: Parus major (Great Tit)
Lineage: Eukaryota; Metazoa; Chordata; Aves; Passeriformes; Paridae
Exons: 3
Source: RefSeq, a predicted model, not a curated record
ACCCGCGGUGCCACCGCCAGCCCCCAACUUAGAGCUCUGCCAAGGUCUCGGCGUCUCACGGGCUGCUCCUGCUGGUUGUCUGAGAGGAGCUGGCAAAGUGAUGAAGGGGCAGAGUAUCUCCUCAACAAGUUUUCUGAUGCCACAAAGCCGGGAGGAGUGGCCGAUACCCCAGAGGGCUGUGCAGCCCUUCAGAAGGACCUCGGCAGCUUGAAGAGAGGGUCAGAGAACUAUCUGGCAUUCAACAAAGGCAACUGCAGGGUCCUGUACCUGGGGAGGAAUAACCCUGGGCACCAGCACAGGCUGGGGCUGACCUGCUGCGGAGCAGCUCUGAGGAGAAGGACCUGGGGGUCCUGGUGGACAUCGAGCUGUCCCUGACCAGCAGUGUGUCCUUGGGGCCAAGGCCAGUGGUGUCCAGGGAUGCCUAAGGAAGAGCGUUGCCAGCAGCUCGAGGGAGGUGAUCCUGCCCCUCUGCUCAGCUCUGGUGAGGUCCCACCUGGAGUGUGCAGUUCUGGGCUCCCCAGCCCAAGAGAUGUUAAUCUCCUGGAGAGGGUCCAGCAGAGGGUGACAAAGAGGAUAAGGUGACUGGAGCAUCUCAACAGAGAGAGCUGGGCCUGUUCUGCCUUGAGAAGACAUGGCUAGGAGGGGACCUUAUUAAUGUGUAUAAAUAUCCAAAGCAGGGGUGCAGAGGGGUUGGGUUCAGACACCUCUCAGAUAUGAGGCAAGAAACUGAUGCGCUGGAAGCUCCACCUGAAUAUGAGGAAGAGUGUUUUUACUGUGCAGGUGACCACACAGACUGGAAUAGAUUGCCCAGAGAGGUUAUAGAGUCUCCCUCAUUGGAGAUAUACAGGAACCAUCUGGAUUCACUCCUGUGCCAUGUGCUCUAGGACAACCCUUCCUAAGCAGAGAGGUUGGAUCAGAUGACGCACUGUAAUCCCUUCCACACAAUUUAUCCAUUCUGUGGUUCUGUGAAAGUGAGCUGGUUCCAUCUGCUAAAUGUUGUUAAAAGGAGAACACUAAAUGCUCUUUCUACACAAUGGCUAUAGUUACCACCAGGGAUAUGGGAUUGCAAAUGAUAGGAUGAAAGAGGAGGUGGAGGCAGUAACUUACAGAAGGAUAAUCCCCUUACGAUGUGUGCCAAUCUGUUUGCAGCCCCUUUUUUUUUUUACUGGAAGACAUACACUGGGAUUUUGUGGUUAUCAGCCUUCAGAGACACCCUUUGUGGCUCCCUAUGUGCACUUAUCACUGGGAUUUAGGUGGUUGAUCAUUGGCCCAUAUAGUUUUUUCUUUAGUAUUUUUACACAAGAUUCCCUACUUCUACUGCACUGAUUUUUCCUCAUGUGGCUACACUUUACUUCUAUGAAUCCAUUUCACAUUCUGCUGCUUCCUUUACCAGCAGAGACACUCUAGAUUUAUGACAGGUUAUUAUUACAAAUUUUUCAACAUUAAUGCUGUGGAAAUGAGGUUGUACUAAAGAUGAUACAGUGGUUUGAAGGGAAGGCUUGAAAAUGCAGACAAGAGUAAAAUAGGGUAAGUGAAGGAAUGGGCUUGCUUUCUGACUUUUGGAAGCUUGUGGAGAGGACACAGAGAUAAGAAAGGGCUGGGGAGAAGCAAAAGCUGAGAUGUGGUGAGAGAAAUCUGGUACGUUUCAACACAAUUAUGUUUAGAAUGAUAUUUUGAUAAUAACAAUCAUCUGGCAAGACCCUGUAUUACUCUUCUAAGUAUAUCAGAAGGCUUUAGCUUUCAGAUGUAGACACUGAAAUAUAUUUUCACAAGCCUUAAAAUGAGAUUCUGUACUUAAGAAGACAUUGAAAGUUCUUGAGGGAAUGUCCACUUUUGUAGGGUAGUAUUCUGUUUCCUGCCCAUUUGUUGAUGAAGUUAGAAAAUAUGUUUUUGGAAAGCCAAAGUGGACAAAAUGUCAUGUUUUAAACUGGAGUAAAACAUUCAACAUAACACAGCGGAAGCAGAUGUCAAAGUAUGAAUAAAUCUGUAAAUUAUGGAAAUAGCUUUUAGGGAGGGGAAAAGAAAUUUAAAACCCUGUGUUAUGGAUAGCAGCAAGAUUUUUGGCGAAGAACUGAAGGGCUGAAUUAAGAAGACUGAUCGCAGAGCAAGAGACAUGGAACAAAGAGGACUUUUAAAACAUUUUGAAUGCCUUUGAAGCAUUCCUUAGUGAUGGUGUAGCCAUCUGUUGAUUGACAUGUUGAAGACAGGUGGCAAGAACGGGAUCAGAGUAUGACUUGACAGCCUUGUAGAGUUGGAUAUCAUCUGCAAAGAGAUGAUGCCCUUUGUUGAAACUGGCAAUGAGAUCUCCCAGAUGAACAUGAGAAAUAAGAAAGAAAUAAAUGAAAAAAAACCCCUCUAAGAGAUGCACACAGUCAUAGUGUUCUCUCAUGCAUGCUAGUAUAGAUUCAAAGCAAUUGUAACUCUGACUUCAUUACACUGUGUCAUGGAUAACAUUAAUGUGAGAGAGGAAUCAAUUCCAUGUGCCUUCUGUUGUGCAAAAGACACUUUGGGAAUCCUCCCGAGGUUGUACCAGUACUGGCAACUGAGACAGAUGUUUUGGACAUGUUUCUGGGUGAAUCAGGUUUACUCAGCAGUGUAUCUACUGGUAGGGAUGUGUGUUUAUAGAGAAACAGGGGCUCAAACUUGGCCAAAAGUGGAGAAAUACCUAAACGGAACCUUUUUGUUCAGAUCUUCCACCAAGAAUUGAAACUUGAAAUCCUUUUCGACUUCUAUUUCCUUGUUGUUGCUUGACAUGGGGCCUUGGCCUGAGCGAUGUUUACAGCAGUCCAGAUGUGAAGGCUGGUUCCGCAUUAAGUCACCCUGAUCUUCUAAUCCCAGCCUGUCACAGGAACAAGAAUUUCAUCUACAGUUGCUGUAUUUUUCAAAGUGAAGGAAAAAGGACAUUACAUAGGUAGGAUUAUUCAGUCUAGUUCUGUUUGAAUCUACUGAACUUCCUUCUAUUUGACAAAAUGUAAAAUUAAUGUUUUUAGAAUCUGGGGACUUCAAUAAUCUAAGAAAAUUAAAAAAUAAAAGGAGUUUUACUGAAUUGAAAUAGGUUGUUAGAAGGAAAUCAGCCUCUGGUAAAGGGAAGGGAAGAAAAAUGAUAAAGAGAAAUCACAUUGACAGAAACUUCAAACAUUAUGGAAACAAGUAGGUCAAAAGAGUUGUUCAAAACAAUAUACCUUUGGAGUAUAUAUUAUCAAAAGCACCACUAAUUCUUUAGGCAGAAAGACACCUGAGAUCAAACAAAUGCUAAUUUGUAGCUAUCUAUUAAACAGCUACUUGGGUGAU